Molecule: ribosomal RNA, 869 nt
Filed under: Dactylellina leptospora
Lineage: Eukaryota; Fungi; Ascomycota; Orbiliomycetes; Orbiliales; Orbiliaceae
Description: partial large subunit ribosomal RNA
Rfam family: Eukaryotic large subunit ribosomal RNA
Source: RNAcentral
AAACCAACAGGGAUUGCCUCAGUAACGGCGAGUGAAGCGGCAAGAGCUCAAAUUUGAAAUCUGGAGCCUCCGGCUUCCGAGUUGUAAUUUGAAGAGGAUGUUUCGGUUGCGGCCUGGGCCUAAGUUCCUUGGAACAGGACGUCAUGGAGGGUGAGAAUCCCGUACAUGGCUGCAGGCUUGCUUCCAUGUGAAACUCCUUCGAAGAGUCGAGUUGUUUGGGAAUGCAGCUCAAAAUGGGUGGUAAAUUUCAUCUAAAGCUAAAUAUUGGCGGGAGACCGAUAGCGCACAAGUAGAGUGAUCGAAAGAUGAAAAGCACUUUGAAAAGAGAGUUAAACAGUACGUGAAAUUGUUGAAAGGGAAGCGCUUGCAAUCAGACUCGCUUUCGGUUGAUCAACGUUCCUUUUGGUUCGUGCACUCUGCCGUUGGCGGGCCAGCAUCAGUUGAGGCGGCGGGACAAAGGUAGCGGGAAUGUGGCUCCCUCGCGGGAGUGUUAUAGCCCGUUGCGCCAUGCCGCCAGCUUCGACUGAGGUCCGCGAUUUAUCUAGGAUGCUGGCUUAAUGGUUGUAAGCGACCCGUCUUGAAACACGGACCAAGGAGUCUAACAUCUAUGCGAGUCUUUGGGUGUCAAACCCAUGGGCGGAAUGAAAGUGAACGGAGGUGGGAGUCCUCGGAUGCACCAUCGACCGAUCCUGAUGUCUUCGGAUGGAUUUGAGUAUGAGCAUAGCUGUUGGGACCCGAAAGAUGGUGAACUAUGCCUGAAUAGGGUGAAGCCAGAGGAAACUCUGGUGGAGGCUCGCAGCGGUUCUGACGUGCAAAUCGAUCGUCAAAUUUGGGUAUAGGGGCGAAAGACUAAUCGAACCAUCUAGUAG